UUUAACUUGGCAGAUUUAAUGCUAUUGAUUUAGAAUCAAUCUAUAAAAAUAUUUUAGUUGGUA
Molecule: transfer RNA, 63 nt
Filed under: Bulinus nasutus
Lineage: Eukaryota; Metazoa; Mollusca; Gastropoda; Planorbidae
Description: tRNA-Leu
Source: RNAcentral